UCUGGAGGAGGAUGUGAGUGGGGUGAGUAGCUGGAGGUCCGAGUGCCCCCCACCCCUUUCCUUCCCCUCCGCACCCCUCCCCUCUAUUACCCCCAUCUUCCAGACUGAUCGAUCCGGAGGGUCCUGCUAGUACCUACAUGUCUGUGAGUGAGGGAGGAAAAGAAAAGUGAGUGCAACUGAUUGAUGCCUUUUAGAAAAGAUGUGCAAUGUGUAACACCUGUGGACCUCUCACCUAUUGGAUGGGGUAGG
This is a long non-coding RNA of Phascolarctos cinereus (koala), 249 nucleotides long. RefSeq lists it as uncharacterized. The record is from RefSeq and is a predicted model, not a curated record. NCBI's taxonomy places the organism in Eukaryota, Metazoa, Chordata, Mammalia, Diprotodontia, Phascolarctidae.